Molecule: microRNA, 20 nt
Filed under: Ciona intestinalis (vase tunicate)
Lineage: Eukaryota; Metazoa; Chordata; Ascidiacea; Phlebobranchia; Cionidae
Description: cin-miR-4023-3p
Source: miRBase by way of RNAcentral
UAAGUUGUGUAAAUUCUAAC